RNAcentral lists this ribosomal RNA (374 nucleotides) under uncultured organism. RNAcentral's name for it is "partial 16S ribosomal RNA". It matches the Rfam family "Bacterial small subunit ribosomal RNA", at positions 527 to 896 of the family's 1533-position model. The record is from RNAcentral.
GUAGGUGGCAAGCGUUGUCCGGAAUUAUUGGGCGUAAAGCGCGCGCAGGCGGUUCUUUAAGUCUGAUGUGAAAGCCCACGGCUCAACCGUGGAGGGUCAUUGGAAACUGGAGAACUUGAGUACAGAAGAGGAAAGCGGAAUUCCACGUGUAGCGGUGAAAUGCGUGGAGAUGUGGAGGAACACCAGUGGCGAAGGCGGCUUUCUGGUCUGUAACUGACGCUGAGGCGCGAAAGCGUGGGGAGCAAACAGGAUUAGAUACCCUGGUAGUCCACGCCGUAAACGAUGAGUGCUAAGUGUUAGGGGGGUUUUCCGCCCCCCUUAGUGCUGCAGCUAACGCAUUAAGCACUCCGCCUGGGAGUACGGCCGCAAGGCUG